AGAGUUUGAUCCUGGCUCAGAUUGAACGCUGGCGGCAUGCCUUACACAUGCAAGUCGAACGGCAGCACGGGUGCUUGCACCUGGUGGCGAGUGGCGAACGGGUGAGUAAUAUAUCGGAACGUACCCUAGAGUGGGGGAUAACGUAGCGAAAGUUACGCUAAUACCGCAUACGAUCUACGGAUGAAAGUGGGGGAUCGCAAGACCUCAUGCUCAUGGAGCGGCCGAUAUCUGAUUAGCUAGUUGGUGGGGUAAAAGCCUACCAAGGCGACGAUCAGUAGCUGGUCUGAGAGGACGACCAGCCACACUGGAACUGAGACACGGUCCAGACUCCUACGGGAGGCAGCAGUGGGGAAUUUUGGACAAUGGGGGCAACCCUGAUCCAGCAAUGCCGCGUGAGUGAAGAAGGCCUUCGGGUUGUAAAGCUCUUUUGUCAGGGAAGAAACGGGAUUUUCUAAUACAAAGUCCUAAUGACGGUACCUGAAGAAUAAGCACCGGCUAACUACGUGCCAGCAGCCGCGGUAAUACGUAGGGUGCAAGCGUUAAUCGGGAUUACUGGGCGUAAAGCGUGCGCAGGCGGUUGUGCAAGACAGAUGUGAAAUCCCCGGGCUCAACCUGGGAAUUGCAUUUGUGACUGCACGGCUAGAGUGUGUCAGAGGGGGGUAGAAUUCCACGUGUAGCAGUGAAAUGCGUAGAGAUGUGGAGGAAUACCGAUGGCGAAGGCAGCCCCCUGGGAUAACACUGACGCUCAUGCACGAAAGCGUGGGGAGCAAACAGGAUUAGAUACCCUGGUAGUCCACGCCCUAAACGAUGUCUACUAGUUGUCGGGUCUUAAUUGACUUGGUAACGCAGCUAACGCGUGAAGUAGACCGCCUGGGGAGUACGGUCGCAAGAUUAAAACUCAAAGGAAUUGACGGGGACCCGCACAAGCGGUGGAUGAUGUGGAUUAAUUCGAUGCAACGCGAAAAACCUUACCUACCCUUGACAUGUACGGAACUUACCAGAGAUGGUUUGGUGCUCGAAAGAGAACCGUAACACAGGUGCUGCAUGGCUGUCGUCAGCUCGUGUCGUGAGAUGUUGGGUUAAGUCCCGCAACGAGCGCAACCCUUGUCAUUAGUUGCUACGAAAGGGCACUCUAAUGAGACUGCCGGUGACAAACCGGAGGAAGGUGGGGAUGACGUCAAGUCCUCAUGGCCCUUAUGGGUAGGGCUUCACACGUCAUACAAUGGUACAUACAGAGGGCCGCCAACCCGCGAGGGGGAGCUAAUCCCAGAAAGUGUAUCGUAGUCCGGAUUGUAGUCUGCAACUCGACUACAUGAAGUUGGAAUCGCUAGUAAUCGCGGAUCAGCAUGUCGCGGUGAAUACGUUCCCGGGUCUUGUACACACCGCCCGUCACACCAUGGGAGCGGGUUUCACCAGAAGUAGGUAGCCUAACCGCAAGGAGGGCGCUUACCACGGUGGGAUUCGUGACUGGGGUGAAGUCGUAACAAGGUA
Molecule: ribosomal RNA, 1491 nt
Filed under: metagenome
Description: bacterial SSU rRNA
Rfam family: Bacterial small subunit ribosomal RNA
Source: RNAcentral